RNAcentral lists this transfer RNA (73 nucleotides) under Glaucocystis nostochinearum. Its description in RNAcentral is "tRNA-Val". It matches the Rfam family "tRNA". From Rfam's summary of the family: Transfer RNA (tRNA) molecules are approximately 80 nucleotides in length. Lineage: Eukaryota; Glaucocystophyceae; Glaucocystales; Glaucocystaceae. The record is from RNAcentral.
AGACAAUUAGCUUAGUUGGUAGAGCGUCUCGCUUACAACGAGAAGGUCAAUGGUUCAAGUCCAUUAUUGUCUA